This 468-nucleotide ribosomal RNA is filed under the name uncultured bacterium. Its description in RNAcentral is "partial 16S ribosomal RNA". It matches the Rfam family "Bacterial small subunit ribosomal RNA", at positions 28 to 507 of the family's 1533-position model. The record is from RNAcentral.
GACGAACGCUGGCGGCGUGCUUAACACAUGCAAGUCGAACGGAAAGGCCCUGCUUUUGUGGGGUGCUCGAGUGGCGAACGGGUGAGUAACACGUGAGUAACCUGCCCUUGACUUUGGGAUAACUUCAGGAAACUGGGGCUAAUACCGGAUAGGAGCUCCUGCUGCAUGGUGGGGGUUGGAAAGUUUCGGCGGUUGGGGAUGGACUCGCGGCUUAUCAGCUUGUUGGUGGGGUAGUGGCUUACCAAGGCUUUGACGGGUAGCCGGCCUGAGAGGGUGACCGGCCACAUUGGGACUGAGAUACGGCCCAGACUCCUACGGGAGGCAGCAGUGGGGAAUAUUGCACAAUGGGCGGAAGCCUGAUGCAGCAACGCCGCGUGCGUGAUGACGGCCUUCGGGUUGUAAACCUCUUUCGCCUGUGACGAAGCGUGAGUGACGGUAAUGGGUAAAGAAGCACCGGCUAACUACGUG